CAGAACCGGCCGCUGCGGCCCGGGCUUCCGGGCGUUGAUCACCUCCAGCUCCACUCAGCCCGGCGAGGCCGCCUCAUUAACCCCAUUUUACCGAUGAGCACACUGAGGCUCAGUUCAAGCGACAGCUCGGCCUUGGAUCCCGGUUUGACCUCAAAACCUAUUGCCUUCCCCGGUGCUCGCCCCUGAGCCCCCCCAAGCGCUUGCCGGGCUCCCAGCCCCUCUGACUUCAGAUUUUCACGAGUCUCGUGGGCCGGGGAGCCCCCGCACUGGCGCCGCGCACCGGGUACAGCCGCUCGCGUUCCCCUCGGGAGCAGACCGAGGUCCGGGCAGGUCACCGGGGCUGGAGUCCGCUCGCUCAGGCGCAGAAGAUCCCCUGUCCCUUGGCUCAGUCCCUUAAGUCGCUCUCCGCUUCUGCUGUCCUCGCCCGCUUCCAACCCCUCGGCUCAGCUCGGCCGCUCCUGAGGGAGGGACGCCCUUCCCAGAAGCUGCGGAGGCUCCAGCCCGGCGCCCGGCCGAGGCCUCCCUUGGCCGCUCCGCGGGUCUGCGGCGCCUCCUGCAGGUGACUGACCUCCCACACUGGGGAUGGGAACCCCAUGAGAAGCGGCACCAGGCUGUCUCGAGUGGGCUGACCACAUCGUUUGUCAUCCGAACGAGAACUCUUCUGAGAGUGAAGGAGGUGCUGAGUGGAACAAUAGGCAUAAACCAGACCCCAGGACAGCGGGUGUAAACCAGGACCGGGCCGCGUGGUCACCCAAUCUCUGAAGGACGCCUCCGAGGCGCCUCUGAGUCUACCUCGGUUUCUCACACUUGGCACGCCAGCUCACCCCGGCUCACCCCGGCUCACCCCGGCUCACCCCGGCUCACCUGGCUCUAGACCUCAGUUUCCAGCUCUGCUUCCACCGCCCCAGUGGCAUCCACAGGCCUUCCAUUUCAACCCUUACACUUGCGUUUGCUCCUCUCUUACCUUCUAUCCCAGCUAAGGAAUGGCCUUUCACCUGGUCCCCCAAUCUGGAAAUCCCCUCACCCCUUAUUUACAUCCACCUGGUUAGAGUCCUGGUGAGCCUGCUUCUAGCCUGUGUCACACAUAGCCCUUCCUCCUUUCCAGUCCUGCUGUCCCAGCCUGACCUCCGUUCCUCCUGCAGUCCUCUCUCCCUGAGGCCACCCUCCAUUUUUCAUGCCAAAAGCCCUACGGCUCUGGAUUUUGGCUGAGUCAGGGACCACAUAGGUGUGAAGCAUCAGGCAGAACCACUUAACUGGUUGGACCCACUUACUAACUGAUGUAGAAUGUUCCAGAAUCUCUCCAGGGCUUUUUGAAUGAUUGGCACAUCUCGAGGGCCUGACACAAAUGAUUCGUUUGGAGCUCAGGAGCUGUGUCAGAAGGAACUCGAUGCCACUUGUAAGUGACAGAAGGUAGAUCUUAAAGGAGGCUUCUGGAAAGGUGGUGGCAGGACAGAGAGCCAGGAAGUGAGGUGAGGUGGGAAGACGUGCAGUAGAAAAGCCGGACUGAGCAGCUGGAGAGAGCCAGGGGCGUGGGUGAUGUGUGACGCUGUGCCUGAGCUCUGCCGUCUGGGGGAGUCUGUGUCAGGCUGAGAGGUGGAGGCAAGGGCUGGGUGCCUGGGAUCCCCGCUGCUCUGCUGUGGGUUCCACCUCAGGCCCCAGACAGGGCUGGCGGUGGCAGGUGGGAGGUGGCUCCCUACCGGCCGGAGGGGAGGACACGAGAGAGCUCAGUGGCCUGGAGGAGAGGACAGGGAGGGGGUCACAGCCCUGGCAGAGGCCCACCGUUGGCCCAGAGGCCAGGGGGUGGCAGAGGUUAGCCGAGCGGCCCGUGAGUGGGGCAGGGUGGUCAGUGGAGUCGAACGAUGGCAAAAGGGGCCGGCAAUGGCCAGGGUUGCGUGUGAAACAGCCCUCCCCAGAUGGGAUAGACAGCCCACGAACUGCGGGAGGCCACGGAACGUUGGGGUAAGCACCUCUGAGGAUUCUAGGAAAUACUGUAUCCAACUUUUUAUUUUAGAAAAUCCAAAAUGGGGCUCCUGGGUGGCUCAGUCAGUUAAGCAUCUGCCUUUGGCUCAGGUCAUGACCGGGGUCCUGGGAUGGAGCCCCAUGUUGGGCCCUUCUCACUCUCCCUCUCCCUCUGCCAUUCCCCUUGCUUAUGCUCUCUCUCUGUGUCAAAUAAAUAAAUAAAAUCUUUUUAAAAAAGAAAAUUCAAAAUGUGCACAAAAGUAGAGGUAAUAUUCUUAUGAAUCAUCCAGGUAUUUCUAUGUACCUGCUUACUCUCCCUCCUAAUUUUUUUUUAAGAUUUUAUUUAUUUAUUCAUGAGAGACAC
This is a long non-coding RNA of Canis lupus familiaris (dog), 2323 nucleotides long. RefSeq lists it as uncharacterized. The transcript has 3 exons. The record is from RefSeq and is a predicted model, not a curated record. NCBI's taxonomy places the organism in Eukaryota, Metazoa, Chordata, Mammalia, Carnivora, Canidae.